AGUGAACGCUGGCGGUAGGCCUAACACAUGCAAGUCGAACGGCAGCACAGGAGAGCUUGCUCUCUGGGUGGCGAGUGGCGGACGGGUGAGGAAUACAUCGGAAUCUACUCUGUCGUGGGGGAUAACGUAGGGAAACUUACGCUAAUACCGCAUACGACCUACGGGUGAAAGCAGGGGACCUUCGGGCCUUGCGCGAUUGAAUGAGCCGAUGUCGGAUUAGCUAGUUGGCGGGGUAAAGGCCCACCAAGGCGACGAUCCGUGGCUGGUCUGAGAGGAGGAUCAGCCACACUGGAACUGAGACACGGUCCAGAGUCCUACGGGAGGCAGCAGUGGGGAAUAUUGGACAAUGGGCGCAAGCCUGAUCCAGCCAUACCGCGUGGGUGAAGAAGGCCUUCGGGUUGUAAAGCCCUUUUGUUGGGAAAGAAAUCCAGCUGGCUAAUACCCGGUUGGGAUGACGGUACCCAAAGAAUAAGCACCGGCUAACUUCGUGCCAGCAGCCGCAGUAA
RNAcentral lists this ribosomal RNA (506 nucleotides) under uncultured bacterium. Its description in RNAcentral is "partial 16S ribosomal RNA". It matches the Rfam family "Bacterial small subunit ribosomal RNA", at positions 29 to 523 of the family's 1533-position model. The record is from RNAcentral.